CGCCGGGCGUCUCUCCACAAAUCCAGCGCGAACAGUGAAUCAGUUGCGGCGCAGAGCAUCCCCUCAGCCGGGGCGAGGCGGCGGUGCCACUUUACUUUUAUGAGCGAGUAAAUCAGGUGCACCUCGAGCAGAUCCACCCGCCGGCCCGCCACGGCUCCGUCAGCGCCGUAAAACUCGCCGGUGGCAGGGAGGUCGUAACUCGUACGCCGAGAGUUCGCCCCAGAUUACUUCGCAGGAUUCGAACGUGAUCCCGAAGGUGUCAAGACAGCACAAGACGAAUUUGCCAACACUCUGCGCAGAGCAGCGCGCGAAUUAAGUUCCUCUACACGGGCUUCAGUGCGCCGCCACUUAAGCAACGUACACUUGUAUGUGACUUUAAGACUAACAACAUACGACAUAUAAAGCGAGCACGAGGAAGAUGCAUGCCAUUUGUACCCGAGUUAGCAGACGAAAGCAGAGAGGGGAGGCAAAUUAGAGCGUGGUGCCCACGGGGUGCGACCAGUGACUUGUCUACGCUAAUACGAAGAGCAAACGAACGCGCGUUUAGCGCCCUAACACCGGAUUAGCGAGCCGAGACAUGGUGGCGACUCCACUGCCGCCGUGUCGUCCCUACAUCUGUUGCCGAUGUCUUUAUUACGUCAAUUCAACCACACGCAAAAUAGGCGCUUUGCCGUCGAGUUGCGGACAUCAGCCCGUUGCA
Long non-coding RNA from Hyposmocoma kahamanoa, 700 nucleotides. RefSeq lists it as uncharacterized. Lineage: Eukaryota; Metazoa; Arthropoda; Insecta; Lepidoptera; Cosmopterigidae. The transcript has 3 exons. The record is from RefSeq and is a predicted model, not a curated record.